UGCCGGAUGGGGUAACGGUAGCCCGCCACACUCUGGAUGUGGUUGUCUAGGUUCGAAUCCUAGUCCGGCAGCCA
Molecule: transfer RNA, 74 nt
Filed under: Chloroflexota bacterium
Lineage: Bacteria; Bacillati; Chloroflexota
Description: Chloroflexi bacterium tRNA-Gln
Rfam family: tRNA
About the family: Transfer RNA (tRNA) molecules are approximately 80 nucleotides in length. Their secondary structure includes four short double-helical elements and three loops (D, anti-codon, and T loops).
Source: RNAcentral